AGAGUUUGAUCAUGGCUCAGAACGAACGCUGGCGGCAGGCUUAACACAUGCAAGUCGAACGGCUGUAGCAAUACAGCAGUGGCAGACGGGUGAGUAACACGUGGGAACCUUCCUAGGGGUACGGAACAACUCAGGGAAACUUGAGCUAAUACCGUAUACGUCCGAGAGGAGAAAGAUUUAUCGCCCUUAGACGGGCCCGCGUCGGAUUAGGUAGUUGGUGGGGUAACGGCCUACCAAGCCUACGAUCCGUAGCUGAUCUGAGAGGAUGAUCAGCCACACUGGGACUGAGACACGGCCCAGACUCCUACGGGAGGCAGCAGUGGGGAAUCUUGGACAAUGGGCGCAAGCCUGAUCCAGCCAUGCCGCGUGAGUGAAGAAGGCCUUAGGGUUGUAAAGCUCUUUUGCCAGGGACGAUAAUGACGGUACCUGGAGAAUAAGCCCCGGCAAACUUCGUGCCAGCAGCCGCGGUA
RNAcentral lists this ribosomal RNA (470 nucleotides) under uncultured Pseudomonadota bacterium. RNAcentral's name for it is "bacterial SSU rRNA". It matches the Rfam family "Bacterial small subunit ribosomal RNA", at positions 8 to 522 of the family's 1533-position model. Lineage: Bacteria; Pseudomonadati; Pseudomonadota. The record is from RNAcentral.